Molecule: long non-coding RNA, 22067 nt
Organism: Apis cerana (Asiatic honeybee)
Lineage: Eukaryota; Metazoa; Arthropoda; Insecta; Hymenoptera; Apidae
Source: RefSeq, a predicted model, not a curated record
AAAGAAAUUAAGCGUGUAAAAAGAUACGUUUUAUUUACUUUUUUUUUCAAUUCAUUAUUCGAAUAAUGUUCGUUAAGAUUAAAAAAAAUACAAAAUAUCCAAUUUUUCAUUUCAAAUUGAUUCAAAUUGACAUCAUAUAAAAUUGGCAUAAACUAGAAAUCUAGUAAAGGGAAACAAAUUCAUUAAAAGUAGAAUAAAAGUUAUGAUAAAUUGGGGGAAAAAAUAUCGUUCACUGUUUGGAUAAAUAUUAAGAUAAAUACGUAACUAAUUAUAAAUGUUUCAUAAAUCUACAAUUUAUCUACAAUUUAUAGUUGCAAAAAAGAAAACGCGUACGAGAUCCCACUUUCCCCAACUCGAGGUCAUCGGAAGUAAAUGUCGAGAGUUUCCGCUAAAGACUUUCGAACGUGUCCCACAAAUCAGGCAUCGCGUGCGUAUCUUGUUUCUGGAAUCGCAUAAAUUUCACAUUUCGUUCUCGAAACACCGAGCGUAAACUAUCUCACCUAGAAGAGGAUAUUUAUUCGUAUAUCGCAGAAUAUCCGACUACCCAUUUCUAUAUUUCAGUUUCAUCAUUUUUUUUAUAUCCUUCGCAAAAUAUAUCGCGCGACUCUUCUAGAUUUCCACCAUUUGGAUACUUUUUACACAUCGAUUUCUAUUACAUAUUUCUUAUAUUUCUAUAACUUAGAAAUUGAGAUUAAAAUGUGUAUAAAAAAACAUUUAUUUACGAUUCGUAUAUUUGAGAAUAAACAAGAGUUAUCCCCAACGUGUAUUUCGAAAUACUAUUAUAUAAUUAUUCAAAUUGUUAUUGUACAAGUUGCAGAUUAUCGAUCAAAUUCAUUCUUCAAAUUUCCCAAUUCAUAUUUUCCUCAUUUCUGCAAUUCAGAAACGGCAUUAGAAGCAAUUUCUAAUUAACGUUCAACAUCGAUCGAGGAUAGAAUCGUAGAAUAAAAAUGCAGAUUGCUGAUCGGAAGUUACAAUAUUUGAUCAUUCAUAAAUUUGAGAACAUAAAACAACUAUCAAAAAUAUAUAUAUAUAUCUUCUAUCAAGUGUAAGGACUGAACCAUAUACGCGAGAGAACGGAGCUUCCGCCAUUCAACAAGUCCCCAGUCGUGACAUUCUUGAGGCGAGACAUAUUUCCAUCCGCGGUGUUCCGCCGCCAAUUUAUGCCCUCCGGUCCUCGCUUUCGCCCAUCCGCGAAAUGCUUGACAUUGGGCGAACAUGCGCCGUGUUUCCACCCUGUGCUGGCCCUCUUAGACGCUAAUUUACUCGCCUUGACGCGACACUAGCGUGUCACGGCUAGACAGACUGAUGCGAUUAAUGCUUGUGUACCCCCACCGUCGCGCUUAGGAUAAUCUAUACUCAUUAGUAGACCAAGCUUUGGAUAGAAUUUCAGAGGUCUUAGGGAACGUUUCUUGUUGCUUUAAGGAUUAUGCUAAGGGAUUUUUUUUUAUCUCGUGAUUUAUGUAUAAGUGAAGAGAAUGAUAAUUAAAAUAGAUAUAAAUGAAUAAUGAUAGAAUUGAUAGAAUUAAAAAAUUUAAAUAUAAAUCUUCUUUCUGAAGAUUUUAUGCUUCGUUUCAUUCGUUUUUAUUUCAUUUUUUAUAUGUAUUUUUUUUUUUUUCGAUUUGCACUGCACAAGAUAUAGAUUAUCCGGUUGAAACUGGUAGAAGCAACGAGGCGCGGAAUGUUGUAACAACCGUUGUGUGCUCUACGUAAAAGAAAGAAAAACGACAAAUUUUACGCACGUGAAAUCGUUCUACGUAAAAUCCAUUUUUGAUGCUUGUAGAUAACUGUCGCGUAAAAGAUGCCUUGUUCGCUUUUUCGACAAAUUCAGAUACAAUUCGAAUCAAUUCUUCCGUAAAAAAUUUCUUUUAAAACAAUAUCUAUCCAUUGUCUGCUUGUCUCGAUGAAAAAAAUAAAAUUUCUUUAUUCGAUGAAUUUUACGGAGAUCCGAAUUUUUAUAUCCGAAAAAAAGAUAAAAGAAAAAGAGAAAAAGAGAAACUUCUUACAAAUUUUUCAUUUCUUAUGAUACAAUAAAAUUCUUUGUCCAGAUAUCUCUUUGAAAGAUUAAAUCUUCCUAUGUCUGAUUUAUCAUAAAAAAUAAUUAAUAUCUUUUUACUUAUAUAAUUUCUUCAUUUGAAUUUGAAACAAAUCAAAGAAAGAAAGAACAUAUUUUUAUUAAUAUCUUAUAAUUCCUAUAUCAAAAAAAAAAAAAAGAAAAAAGAAAUGUGAAUUUCUUUAUAAAGGAUUUUCUUUCAAUUCAAUAAUUUUUCGCUUCGAUCUAAUCCUCUCUUUCUUCAUCCCUAAUUCAAUAAAUGAAACAAAACUUCUUUGUUCCACGGACUCCACGAGCAUUCUAAUUUUCCUAACCAAAAGAAAAAGAAAAAUAAAAAAAAAAAGAAUAACCUCGUAUAAAUUCUUCAUCUCUAUUCUAUCCCGGACACGGUGACACGAAAUUUUUCGUCCAGAUACCUCGAACAGCUCCGUCAGAAUCAUGAUUCACCACGAUAUCCUCGCGUGGAAAUAAAAAAAAAAAGAGAGAGAGAGAGAUCCUCCGAGCCUUCGUGUCCCGUGCCGUGAACUCGAAUGAGACGAAGCAGAGAGAGAAAAGAGAGAGAAAGAGAGAAACAGGUUUGGAACUGCAUCCAGGAUGGCUUGAUAUGCAGGACGAGGGCUGGUCUAAGGAUGCAACGUGACCUCAUCACUCGGCCUUCGUUCUUUCCUCCACGGUUGUCCGAACUGGAAAAUAUUCCUCCCCCUCUUCUCCUCAAUCGCGUAGCUACGUCCAAGGGAUCUCUGAAACCUUUUCCUAUGCUCGAAACACUUUGGAGCCCGCAAGUUCUCGUAAAUCGUGCAUUUCACUCGAAUCGUGUGAACCGAAUGUCCCGAGUCUUUGGAUCCCUUCGCCCAGUUGUGGACCAUUUCCCGCGUGGCGAAAUGUUUUUGGGACCACGAUUCUUUCGUUUCGCUUUAAAUUGCUUUCGCAUAACAUUUGCGUAUUAUAUGACUUGCGAAUUUUCAAGUUUCGUAGAAUUUUACGUGGCAAUGUUAGUUUUUAUUAAAAUGUAACGUAAAAAUAUUCUUUUUUUUUAAAAUUAUAUUAAUGCAUUUUUAAAAACAAGAAUUUUUCAAUUCCGUAAAAGACAAUUGUAUAAUUUCAAAUUUUUAUUUGUUUCUUAAAAAAUUAUUUGCAAACAAACUUUUUAUAAUAUGAGUGUUUGAUGCUUGUGGUAUGAUUGAAAAGAAUUUGCAAAAAUUUGAAGAAUAAUAUGAUAAUCGAAAUUAAAAUUAUUUUAAUAUCUUCGAUUGUUAAUAUAACAUAUUUUACUUUAAUUUUAACUUUUAUUUACAUUAAAGUUACCAGUAAAUGAUAUAAUUCAAUCAAGAAAAAUUCGAUUCCAACCAAUUCUCGUGAAAAACGUAUUAUUAACAGCUUUCAUUCAAGACAUUUUAUCAAAUUUUCACUUGAAAUUUUCACUCAUUCGAGACAAAUGCAGUUCCAGCCAUCGCGUAACCGCUAUAACUCUACCGAAUCGUUUUCCAACCUAUUUGUAUCUUCGAUUCAUUAUUACACGUCGUACCGCCCAUUCCCAGUUUUCGUUUAAUUAAACCAUACUUCGUCGAGCGAAUUUAUAUACCGCGUGACUUUAUACCCCAAUUGACUUGCCAUAAUCGAUCACGCGAAAAAUUUACACACCUUCCUCCUCUAGAGCCACGAGUUUUUCACGAUAUCUCGUUCGACGCCCGACACGAUAGAUGCAACAUUUUCGCCCUAUUCCCCACCGUCUUGUCAAUCCUCCAACAACGUCGCUCUCGAUCCGAACAAAUCGGCCUGCACGUCCAUUUUCGACUCGAGGGCACGAGAAGAAUGUUCUCGGGACACGUGGCUCCCUGGUUCAUGCGGCACGAUAAUCGAUUCGUGGCCGGAUCGAUGGGGAUCGCGUCGAGAAACCCUUCGUGACCUUCUUCAACUUCUUUCUCCAUCGGAACGAAUAGGGUACGCGACAAAGUGGAGUGGUACACGGAUAAAAGAUUCAGUCGUUUUCUCGUUCGAGGACCAAGGUAUUCCUACCCUAUUUCACUUCUCAUCUAUUUCCUCCAUUGCUUUAGUCACUCUCUUCUCCCUUUUCUCAACCCCUCCUUCCCUCUUCGUUUACCACGUACCACGCGAACCAGAUGUCGCGUUGACUUUAGCCAACCAACUCGAUUUCGCGACACGUAUGCGACCAGCACGAUUAAACUUUAAACCUCUCCAUUCCAUCCAAGGAGAUUCCAUCCCGCCACAUGGUGUCCUCUCUGUUAACUCUCGCUACGAGCCGUUACUCGCGAAGUACUCGCGAAGAGGAGCAGAUCGCCCCAAUCGCGUGCAAUCCGUUUCUUUGAUUCGAUAAAACCUCCUUGUUAAUUUAUUAGCGCCGAUACCGCUUUGAUCCCGUUUCCAAUUCGAUUCCGGUCCGAAAGGGGAAGGGAGGAUCUCGUCGCAUUAAAGUUCGCCGCGCGUGAAUGUUGGAUGACAAUGUCGAUUGGAGGAAAGCAUCGAGAUUGAAUCUCGAGGAAACUCAAACUGUUUACUUGGCUACCCUCUUUUCCGGUGAUUCACGGCUACGAAGGGGGAGGGAAUGGGGGAAUUGGGGGAGAAAAAGUUUUGGGGAGUCGCGAGUCACCGGUGGAUUUCGUAUGCAGCUGUGAGUGACAGCGCUCCUUAAGCCUGAAGGCCAUCCACUCGGCUUAUAAAUUAUUAAUUUUUCUGAGGUAGAAGGUGGGACGCAGAUGCGCGCCGGAAAGUUGAUUAUUCGGGACAACUUGCCGCGAUAAAUCAAGGAGAACAACUCCUUUAAAGUUUGAUGGUCAAUUGGCUAGUCGGCAGAGGGGAAUAGGAUAUUAUUUUUUGCAUCUUAAAGCAACAAGUAAGUUUGAAUUCGUAAGUAUUUUUUGACAGGGAAACGGGGAUCGAAUGUUUGGAAUUGGAAGAUGAGAAGAAAAUUCGAAAAGAACGAUAAGAAUUAAAUAAUUCAAAGGAUACGAAAGGAUACUAGAAUUAUGGAAUAUUAUCGACAAAUAUACGUCGACAUCUUUUAGUUGGCUGGAAAUUAGUUUCCAAAUUAUUCUCACCUAGCAUUCAAAUAAUACAGCAACUUCUUCAACAGUCUUAAUUAUACAUACAUGUUACGGCGGAUGUAUUAAUUCAGGAUGCGUGUACACUUCUUAGUCAAUGUAUGCACAUGCUAAUUCGGUAAAGUAAAUGCAUUCGCAAACAAUGAAGUUUAAAUUCUUGCUAAAAGCGCGUUACAUUACGCAAAUGGAUACAUUCACCUAAUAAGAUUAGAAAAUAUAUACUUGCUGAUAAUUUAAAACAUAUAAUAUAUAAAUAUAUCUACUAUGCAAUAUUAUAAAUCGCUGACAAAUCGAGAUUACGUAGAUGAUUCAAUUUUAAAGUUAUGCAUCGUCACAAAUAUAUAUCGCAGUAAGAUAAACAAUACGAAACGGAUGAAUUGAAAUAGAUUAGUAUAAGAUAAACAAUGAAUCAUUCCACUGAUAUAAAUAUACAAAGUGGAAAGCCUCGUAAUCUCCUUUGUGAAUACAAAGGAUCUUAUUAUUAGACUAAUCUACAAAUUUAUUAAAUUUACUAUACUUACCAUAAAAAUAUGAAUUUCUAUCAUACUAUCGUAAAUAUGAAUCGUCUAGAUUGAUAAAUUUGAUUAACUACAGCUGUGAAGCACAAAUUUCCAUCCCUACAUCAAAUAAAAUUCUCGUAUAACAGCUCUUCGAUAUUUCGAACUCAGGUGUCUUCCGUUAAAUUCACGCCCCGCUCAUCGUCAUCAGCGUUUCAUCAUUAAUUCCACGCGUCAUCCGACCCUCUCUCACCAACUUCCAAAACUCGUGAACCACCUUACCCCAUCGAUUAUUUCCGAGCUCUGCGAUUCGAUCUUCCGCUUCCGGUAACCAAGUGUUUCCAAGAGAGAGAGAGAGAAAGAGAACAGGAUUGAAGAGCAAACCUACGUUCCUCCGCAAUUUUUCACCACCAACAAUGCAAGGGUGGAAUUAGAAGCGCGUGGAUCGGCGUUAAACGAGGGCUAACUCAGAGGAGUAGAGAAGGAUAAGGUUCGGUUUCUAGAAAAGGGAAGAGAAAGAGCGGAGACCCGCUGAGUUUGCUCCCACGAGAUAUCGAACUUUCCCUCUUCCUCGCUCUCCAUGCCGAGUUUAUAACGCGAUCCUGGUGCAACUCAUCGAUUCGGUUCACACGAAUUUCUUACGUAUGCGAACGAUGUCCAAUUGUAACGGCCAGGUGAAUUCGAUUCGGAAAUCGUCGACUCUUAAAGCCACUUCUUUCGCCCGAUUGUUAUCUCCAUCGAUCGUUGAAACGUGAAUAAUUCGGUAAAGGGAGAGAGAAUGAGAAAAAAAGAGAGGAUAACUGUCCUCGAUUUGCUCUUCGACAGUUGGAUAGGUUUUUCGGAGAAUAAAUGGCAGAUACAAAGGAUUGUGAGUUUGCAUGAUAUAUUUUGUUUCUUUUUCCCCUGUUUUUUUAAAAUUUGGGAUUUAACUUAAACGAGUAUUUUAAGAGCGUUGCUUUAAUCUCUUAGUUAUUGAUUUAUAAAUUAUAGAAGGAAAGGGAUGAAGGUUCGAGUCGAUUAAGAAUUUAACGUGUUGAUAGAAAAACAAUUAUUCGUUCUUGAGAGAUAAAUAAUAUUAAAAUAAAGAAGAAAUUGAAUGUAUAUAUUAAUCAUAUGAUUUGAAUAUUCUUGUAAAGUAAGUACAAAAAAAUUCGAUAUUAUAUUUUCACGUUUAAAAUAUUAUACAGAGUAUAUAUUCAUUUUCUUAGGAAAUAAAUUCUCAAUUUAAUCCUGAUUAUGAUUUUUGUUUGUUUAAUUUUGUGUUUAAUUUUAUUCUUCGUUCUAAUAUCAGAAAAUUAAUAAUUUAUCGUUGAAAUUAUUUUCAUCAUUGAUAAUUAAUAACUUAUUCGCAAGACAUGAUAUUGGUAUUGAUUUUGUGUCAGCACGUUGUAGCAAUGUAUUAUUACCAUUUUUAUCAAGUUCACUAAUGCAGAAAAUAAUUGUUCAAUAAUUAAUUUAACAAAAUAAUAACUUUAUUAACGUCCAACACAUUUUAUAAUUCGAACAAUUUUCUCGAACAAUAAAUUUGUUUAUAACACGCUUGAAAAAUAUUCGAUGCUGAAAGAUUUUUAAUUAAUUACAUUGUGUGACACUUGCAUGAUUGCAUUUACUCAACACAAAACAAUCCAUUAUUCUACUCUUUAUAUCCUUGUCCGUACUUUUAUUCGUCAGUGAAGUGCUCCUUCCAUUGUGAAAAUUAAAAUCGUUAUCAAUUAUCAAUAUUUUCUCCUAAAAUCGAAAAUACUUUGCAUAAAUAACUUACAAAAUGGAUCGGUACGAAAAAUUAACCGAAUCUUAUUAAUAAAAAACUCUCUCUUCCUUCACCAAGAACCAAAUAACCGUAAAAAAAACCAACUCCCUCGCUCAUCCAUCGCAAUAGAUUCACCCACCAAUUGACUGUUCGAAGCGAGCGAGCACGUCCUGCCGCACGAUUAGAUGAAACGAGCUUAUGCUUAUGCUCGUUUAACGGGUCUGCCAAGAGAGAAAGAAAGAGGGGGGGACUUGUGCGUCGCAACCGAUGCGUUGAAAAACGCACGAGUGCGCGAUGUAAACGACACACUUUAUCGAGGUGGAGGACGUGGAGGAAGAGGGCAAGGGUCGCAAACUCCGGUUUCUUUGAUCGGCGAUGCAUCGAGAAACCGCUCCGUGGAAUUCGAUAUUUCGGUGCAAUCAAGUGCCGAUCCCCCACCUCGGUUGAUAUAUGCAUUUCCUCUUUCGUUCGUCUCCUCUUGCUUCGACGUACACGCGUGUGCGGUGAAGUAGACAUCUCCUGUGGGUGCACAACUCGCGUGAAAUAAUUAACAACACUUGUGACGAUACACGAGCUUGAGCCGCGAGUCCCCACGGCCACUUGAAACAUUCACCAACGACGAUACGUGCUCGACUACGAUCAUCGCGAGAGCGAUGCAAAAAUUUAAUCGAUCAUCCCCGAUGUGGGACCUUUCGAUAUCGUCGAAUCGUUUUCAGAUAUUUGUUUAGAUCGUGAUCGAACUUGAAAUUUUCUAUCGGGAUAUUUUUACGAUUGAUGAUUUAGGGGGGAAAAAUUCAUGACGAUAUUUUCGUAAUAUGUGAUUCAUAAUUUAUAGGGAAAAAAUAGUGACGAAAUUGAAGUUGUAGCCACGUACGUACUCGUGGAAAUUGUCUGGGGAUGGGAAGUAGUGCGAACUAUUUAUCUUGUUGUUAGUGUAGGAAGUUGUUAAGCCUGUGAAAGUAGAACUUGUUGACGGAUAAAGUACAUUGUUGUUAUUGUACAGUCUCUAUCGUUAAAUUGGAGAUUCUUUUUAGUUGAAGAUUCUAUCUUAGGGAAAAUUAAAGAAGCGAAUUAUCUUUUUUUACUUUUACUAAAUUUUUACAUAAUAUUUUUUAAUUUAAAAUUCUUAUUUAUUCGAUAAAUCCAAAUUGAUCGAUUUAAAAUUGGAUGCAUUUUAUUUAGAAUAUCAGUGCAAAAUUAUCAAUAUAUGUAUAAUUUUUUUUGCCAAUAAAACUCAUGAAAUUUUUUAUAAUUUCAUUUGCAAACAGAUUUACAUCACGUAUUACAUUUGAUCCAUGAUAUUAACGACUCGAUACACGUUCAAGUUGACUUUAUAAACUUUUAUUUGUGUAAAAUGAGAUCGAUUCCCAGGGGCAAUAUUUGUCUGUUAUAAUUAAAUGCAACGUCAAUUCGAAAUUCAAUAAACAAUUUUAAAUAUUAAACGGCACGGGAAAAACAAACAAAUAAUUUCGUGGAUUUAUACGUACAUGUGAUUGGAAAUACCAAUUGCGUGUUAACCUUUAAAAUUUCGCGCAAUUGCACUCUUCUCUCUCCGUCUUUCUCUCUCUUUCUUUACCAGAAUAACAUUAUCUUUACAAUAAAAAAAAAUGUACAAAAUUAACAAUUAUUAAUUUUCUCGAUUCGAUUUCCAUAAUUAUUGCAUCAUUGUUAAAUCGAAUAUUCUCGAAGAUUCUUUUGCUCGAUACAAGUUUCUCAUGCGAAUAUCCGAGGAUCACAUGCAUGGGUAUUGCAGAGAUAUGAAUGACAUAUCCUUCGUAGAAGUUUUAGCUGUUUAACUACUUACGUUCAUUGUAAUCUCUGCACUAGUUAACGCGAGUUCCCUAUGGUUUUACUUGACGGUAUAGCUAUCAAAGUUCCUACACUCCAUUAAAAUUGGAAUAUCCUGAUAUGCCGAGUCCCAUGUCGUGUUGUAAUUUCAGUAUCGGUAUCGUAGCGGAUCAAAUGGUAAUACCUUCCAUCCCCUAUGUCUGUUGAAACGUGGUUCUAGGGUAAUGGUGAAAUUAUGCUUGGGAUGGGAAUGAAAUUUUAAGCGGAGAAUCGAUAGAAUAGAAUUUUCGUGUUGUGGGGUCAACCGAAAAUUUGUAUACACGUUGGUACAUUUUUAUAUCAUAUUUUUAAUAACAUACACGUUUAUAUAUUCUUAUUCUUUCCAAAAAAAAAAAAAGUGAAAAGUAUUCUAAAACACACACGAUUCAAUGCAUAACAAGUCUAAAUUUUACAAUUGUCAUUCUAUAAAUAUAUCCAUCAUAUAUGAAUUAUAAUUCACGAAUCGUCGUUUGAAAAAGUAUUUAAACAAUAUUAUUUUUCUCUGCUUUAAUUCUUAAUUCUUUCACUUUUUUAUCAUUAUGAACCAAAAGCUAUAAAUGUUCGACUUUUACCUCAUGUUUUACGACGAUAGAAUGCUUUCCCUUCGUUAGACAGUCGACCUUCGUUAGGGUGUCAGAUUCGAGGGAAACUUUGGGGAAAGUCCACAGUUUGCAGGCGGUGAUGGAAAACGCUCAGCCACAAGGAAUAACUUUUAACUUUCGCGAUUUUACGACCGCGAAGAGUUUAUACUUGCCGCGCGGUUCUUCAAAAGUCUGCUGAUGCGGAUACAAACUAACUUCUUUAUCGCAUGCUCGAUCAAUUUGAUAUUUUCAAUCGUGAAAUGUCUGUAACUGGAAUUUGCUCGAUUAAGAUCUCGUUGAAGAUCGUUGUUAAUGUAGAUCAAGAUUGAGAGAUCAAUCAAAUAUUUAUUAAUAACUGAAAUUUUCAUCUUAUUUUUCUUUAUUUACCGCGGUCCUUGAUCCUUCAUUUCGAUUAUUUGAAUAGUAAUAUAUUUGGAAAAAUAAGUUAUUUGGAUACUUGUUAUUUGAUUUUAUUAGAAAUAUGGAAUGAUUUUUUAAUAAUACAAAAUAACGAAAAGAAUUAAUAUAUUUUAUUUUAUUAUUAUAUUAUAAAGUAGUUAUUUGAUAUUUUUAAGUCGAGUGAAAAGUAUCCAAUCCUGUUUUGGGGAAUAUUUUCACAACCAUAUCAUGUUUUUGUACAUAAUUAAGUUUGUUGCAACGCUCGAAAGGCUCAGGACAUUUUGUGUUUCGUUUUAAUUAUCACGAUUAAGGUAUGUGAAAUAUAAUGUAUUAUAAUAAUCUUGAUAAAGAUUAAAAAUGGUAUGAUUAUUGUGCAUUGUUAAUAUGCUAUUACAAAUACUAAUAAGAGGACGUAAAUCGUGAUACAACUAUAUUUCGAUACAUCAUACCUAAUCCUACAGUGCAAUUAAUAACAGAGUUCGAGGAGUUUAUCAUUCAUGAAGUACGUUAAAUGCGAGUCACAAUAAAAAAUUAGCCUGUUUUGCAUAGUAAAAUAUUCUUCUUAGAGAGCGGCCUGACUCGACUCUCGUUUCUGAAUUACAUUCGACCGUGUUUCUGGCUCGAAUGAGCACGCUUUCUACAAGGCUUUAAACGCGGUCGCAUGAUCGUCUUCCCGGACUUUUAUUUUUUCUGGCGGAUCGUCAGCAAAUUAGGCAAAAUCGAGAGCUGCUGAACGAGAGGCCUCGCGCGCAUUCGAGGGAUCCGCAUUCUUCGCUCCGCUUUCACAUUUCUUUUACGGUCCAUCGGUGCGAGUUUUCGAGCGGGUUGUGACAUCUUCGUGAUCGUUGCUCUCCUUUUUUCGUUUAUGGAUGUAGUUGUUUCUGGAACAAAGAUUGAUGGUUUAUGAAGCGAGGUGAGAAAGUGUUACGAUGGAAAAUUUCGAAUGUGUUUGUUCAUUGUGUGGAGGAGGAUUUCUGAUAAUGAUUGAAACAAAUUUUAUCAAUCUAAUAAAGCAUUUCUUUUUUUAUUUGUUUCAGGUGAGUAAGCAGUAGUUGGAAUAAUUGGUAGUUAAAAUUAGGAGGAGGGUAAGCCCGAAUUCCAGGCAGCGAUUCGCUUUAUGGUGUAAGUAAUGAUCCACCAGGUGACCCGUUUCGAGUCGAGACGAUCGUUCGUCACCGUCUUUACAGAUCCAAAUCUUUCUUACCCUACAAUUUACUCGAGUCUAUGAUCCAUCUUCGAUCCAUCCUUUAUUCAUAUUUACGUACUCUCUGACACAUUAUUUCAAUGCUAAGGAAAAUCAGAUGUACUUUUUCGCAUCACCAAAUAUAUAUAAUUAUUUAAAUACAAUUUACAAAGAUAACGAUAUGACAAUUACAAAAAUAAUUAUUAAAAACUACAUAUUCUGUAAUUGGCAAAUUGUUAUAAAAAUUGAACAUGAUUAAGAGAGAGAACGAAUAAAGUAGAAUAGGCAUGAAUAUAUAUAUAAUAGAGUAGACAGCCAAUUGUCGGAGGGAACAAAAGGAUGUUUCCUCCACGCAUGUGCUGGAACAUGAUCUUCUUUAUCUCACCUAGGACGACUCUCUUCCGAUUAUUAUCCUUUCGAAGGGUGGAGCAGAUGUAGCUGCUACCGGUGUACCAUCUCGCAUCCAUGUCUGAUACACGAUCUCCAGAGAGAUUUCAUACGGCAGAGGUUGCACCCCCUCCCUUCUCCCCUCGGAUAUUCCCUGAGAAUUGCAAAUGUUUCGCCACCUUCCCUCGACAGCCAUUCCUCUCUCCUCCCCUGUCUCUUAUUCGUCUUUCGUUUCCUUCGAGACGAUGCGAUGCCACUUCUCGCCCUGGAUAUGGAAAUUUCAUAUAAGCCAUGCUGCACCAUUUCGGUGGGGCGAUACUAGGAUCUCCCUUUCCUUGGAGAUAAUGCAAUUUCUUGGCCGACUUAUUGCAUUCGCAGUCCCGGCCACUUUUGAUAUUUCACUAUGGUUGUUCCAUCGCUAUGGUGGGCUCCUGUGGAUAGGACUUUGUGAAGUAGAGAAUUCUCUAUGUUAGAGGGAAAAUAUCUCGAAUAGUCUCUACGGGAUAUCACGAUCCGUUUAAGUAUAUUUCCGAUACUUUGUCUCGGGUUUAAGAAGAGAAUCGUGUUUGAUGUCGUAUUUGCGUGUUUAAGUGAUAUCGGAUUAUUCACAUAAACGUAUGCUUUGGAUUUCAAAUAAGGCGACUAAAAUUUCUCCAUUGUGCUUCGUACAAGUUUGAGUUUAAAUUUGAAAAUAAAUUAAUAAAUAGUAACGAAUUAAAAGUCAUUUUAAUCCAUAGUUAUUAUUAUAAGAAUUAUAAUAAUUUAAAGUUUAUCUGAUGGAAUUCUUCAGUAAAAAAGUAAUAAUUAUAUUCUUGAAUACACAAAUAUCAGCAAAUAGCAAAAAGACAUUUAUUAAUAAAAAUUUAUUCAGUACAUCAUUUUAUUCAUAACGUAUUAUUAUUCACUUAGAAAUAAACACGUUCAAUCCAUUAUUUGAUAAACAAUCGGGAAAUUUUAAUCUUUCCAAAACUUUCUUCCAUAAAUUUUCAUUCCAUCAAACUUCCCCGAUUAAUUUAAAAUCAUCUUCCUAGAAUCGUUUAAUCGCUCCACCCCUCCACCCACUUUUUUAAAUCCCCGAAUUUGCAUACGUUUCACCUCACGCAGGAAACUUUAUUUUCUCCCUUAUCGGUCUAAACGAACGAUCGUUAUCAAAUAUCGGGGGGAGGGGAAUCGAGAGAACGGCUUUAUUCCACGCGACUUCCCCCUCCCCCCUCCUUUCAUCGAAACUUAAUAACGAGCGCGUGUCUAUCGACGUGAACGUAUAGUUUGUCGUAAGAUCGGGUAUAUUAAGUAUCCGUAUAUCAGACGGGCCAGAUCGUGAAUCUCUUCCCCCUCCUCUCCCUCUCUAGUUGAAGCACGGCCACCAACCUCCUCCAUAAAGCGAUUUACGAGCGUCGCAGAUUUACCGGGCGAAAUUGCGUCCCCGCGUUUUGCCACGGAUACGUUGACUUACGGCGUCUGGAGGAAUAUCAUUUUUCCCGCUUAAAUCGCGCUAUUGUUCCGCUCAUGCGCUUCAUUGCGUUUGCGAACUGUCUUUGCGGGUGUGUCGACGAGAUAUUAAAGAGGGAUUAUCGAUGGAGAGCUUUUGUUUCUCGGGGAAUUGAGAUUUCGUUGAACGACGAUUUAAGGAAGGAUAGGUUAGGAAUAUUUCGAUCGUUGAAAAAAGUUAUAUGCGUAUUGAUGGAUUGAUAGAAUUGGUUUAAAUUGGUUACUUUUAUUAUAAUAUGGAAUAAAUUUUAUAGGUGUGAUUGAUGUAGGUCAAGAUAGAUUGAAACAGAAACAUCGAUGAUCUUAAUCUUGAAAGAAGAAUUAAAUAAUAAUUAGGAAUGUUAGAGAUAGAUUAUUAAAGAUUCUGAUAAAAUAAAAAGGUAUAUAGAAUAUUUAUGUAUAGAUGUGUUAUCGUUAUUAUUUUAAUAUAUAUCAAUUUUUAACGUUUUUAUUCAACGAGUAAUUCAUAACAGAAAUAUCUUGUUUUUCAAAUACAAGCAUAUAUUCGAAAGCAAUACAACGUCAAAAAUUCUAGCCGAUAGUUCCAUCAGGUUCCUGUAUUCAUCAACUUUACCAAUCAAACUUCCGUUAGAUCAUGCCAAUACUAAUUUUAAUCAGAACUUUUUCUCCCCCUCCCCGAGUGUAUUUCAAACUCGAGUUUCAAUCUACUCACGAAUUUUUCACAAAUUUCACUUUCCAUCCAUCGUUUGGUCGUAUAAAUCUACACAUAAAUAGGGGUCUAUCAUGAGCACUAGGAUGAAAACAGAACGAAGCGAUUAAAUUGGCAAUAAUCAUUUGCCUAAUGGACAUUUUAGAGGCUCGAUGAAAAGGAAAAGGCUUGGCGAUAACGGCGCGAUUUUAUCUGGAAUUUCUGUUCGAUCGAAAUGCGACGCAAAUUGGCUUCAAAACAGCGUCGAAUAUAUAUAUGUAUAUACGUUUAAUGAAAUGAAAUUGCACGAAUCGUUAUUGUGGUAAAGCGGAGAUAGAUUUACAAGAUUAUUUUUACGAAAGCAUCCGAUAAUUGAACGUUUUUUUCUUCUUUUUUUUAAUCGCUUUAUUUUAUUUAAUCGCUGCGCGCAACGAUCGCAAAUCGAUAACCUGCAAAAGCAUAACGAUUAAAGCAUUUCGACGAUUUCUCAUUUCAAUUGCUGACUUUUACAAUAUCAUAUCGUGAUAUGUAUUAAUUAAUGCCAGUUUCGUGUAUAAUAAUAUUUGUUCGAGGGAAAAGAGAGGAAGAGAGGAAGAGAACGUAGAAUUUAUUUGAUUAGUUCAAUGGUGCGAACGUUUAAAAUUUUCACGACGCUUCACGAAGCGUGAUGCAUUAAUCGUGGGAUCUACACAGGGACUCGAUAAAUCUUUUGUCGAGCAUUUUUUGUCUUUCCCAAAGAUUUCUCUCAUUUAUUUACGAGAAUUAAUUUUCAAUUUGUUUUCUAGUAUCGGAGAAAGUUUUGUUCUUUGAGAAUUUCGUGUAAAACAAUAAUUUGAAAAAUAGUUUAGAGGAAACUAAAAAUUUAUUACGAUAAAAUAAAAAUAGCUUAUGUUUCGACAAAUGUUACAAUUUUUAUCUAACGAUACAAUAAAACAAUUUAAUAGAAGAGAAGAUCACAUUGAGAACUUCAAAGUUUCUUUUUUAAAGAAUCCAAAAUAUUCCUUCCAUUAACAUUGGCGUAACAUUGACAUAAUUAAACUUGAGAUUGAUCGUUUUUUUUUUUACUAAUCCAAUUUUCGUUAUCCAGUUAAAAAAUAGCAAUGGUCGAUUAAUUAUUCAUUUUUCUCACGAUAACAACAGAAAAAAUGCAUUGUGAUCCCCUUUCGAAGAAUCAUCCUGCGAUUUUCGAAUCCUCAAACAUCUGUAUAAUUUUAACAAUUAACGAUUCGAACGAUGAUAUUUCAUUUGCCAAGAAUUGAAAAUAAUCCAUCAAGCGGAUGGAACAAAUAUCCGCGAAUAACAGCGUCCCGUGUAAUUGAAUUCACUGUGUAACGUAAGAUGGACGACAGCCUUGUGGUCCGACAAAACGCUGUCGCACGCCACAACGAAAGAGAAAUACGAGGAGUAACCGGCAGACCAUUUUGGAAUGGUAUGCUUUUGCAGCAUAAGUAAUCCUUUGUAUCUCCGUAUAUUUCCGUGUCAAAGCGGCAAUAAUGCAUACAUGUAAUACACAGAGUACAUUUGUGCAUUUGACACGAGCACGACGAUGAUGUCGAGUUUCGAAAGUUCGUCCUAAUUCAUGAACAAUUAAUUGAGCCUUCCUGAUAUGUUAUUAAUCAUUUAAAGUACAUUCUUUGCGAGAUUAUAAUUGAAUUUAAAAGAUUCAAAAUAUUUUUUUAAUACCAAUAAACAUUCGAUGCAAUUACAUAAUAUAAUUCUAACCAAUCAUUUUACUAUCGUUACUUACUCACUUAUCUCAAUUACUUUUACAAAAAAAAACUAGCAAUUUUUUUUUUCAAAAAUAGUAAUAACACCGCUCGCUGCGAUACUAAUCAACGCACGUAAUAACACCUCGUAACGCCAUACCUGUCCUCUGUCUGAACUGGGCUGACAAUCAAGCCAGAAUCGAAUUCGAUAGAACCGUUAACGAGUCAAAGCGACACGCCACCGAAAAAUUCCCUAUAUCUGUCUCCCUAAACGUGACAAAGCUAACACUUAGCAAACCGACAAAAGCCGAUCCAAUAACCACGUGCCUCCUCGUCUAACCACGUUUACACGAUUACAGCUUAUACGAUUUAUCCAGUUAAAUCGAAGUGACAAAAUCGUAAGGAUAAAAUACGUGAAUGUCCAUAGACGGGAGCAAGAUGAACGAAUACGAAGAGCUUUAUUCAUCGAAGCCGUUUGCGAUCGCUAUGGUCUCCUCCUCUAUUCAAACGAGAGCCAACAGUUUGGUUGAGUUGGCAAACCGAUUCCCGAAGUAUAUAGGCCGUUUCGCUGGUGGAGAAUGGCGUAUACGCGUCAAAUAUAAAUUUAAUGACGCGUCGAAGCGUGACGGAGGGACGGUGUGGAUGGAGGUUGGGGAAGGGUGCAGCUUUAUAAAAUUGACUGGCUGUCCCGUUUCUGCCGGCGGCUCGAUGAAAACAAAUAGGCGAAAGGGCUGUCAAAUUCUGGAACCGUCGCGCCGCGCGUAUUGCGAGAAACUAGCAUUGAAGCUUUCGUACCGCGCUGCUGUGCAAAUGAAAAGGGGCUAUUUACCGGCAGUUUUUCACAGGUAGGGGAGGGGUAAAAAAUUCCACGCGUCUGCUUUUUCGUAUAUACCUAGUUAUCGGCUCGAGCUGCUGCCCGAAACGAAAUUCAUUGUGAAACGUUCGUGGAUUGUCCAACGUGGUUUGGUGAACGUUUAGCGCCAAUUUUUCAGAUUGUUAAAUUUCAAAGUCGCGUCAUUGUGAAUCGGAGAAGUUGGUUUUUCGUUGUUCCUGAAACAAUCUCGGAGUUGGAUAAAUAAUAUAGGAUAGAAAUGGUAAAUGGUAGAUGGUGGGUAGAUUAUCCAUAGUUAGGAUUAAUUCGGAUUUCGAUCUAUUCGGGGAUUAUCUCUUUUCCUCUUUUAGCGAGAAGGAUGGAAUGGUUGUAGGUUGUAGGCUCUCUUUUCUCAAGAAAGGAUUGUAAGACAUGAACGAUCGCGUGAGGGAACGUUUAUUAGGGACGAAAUUAAGAAAAUAAAAUGGCGUGAGUGGAUACGUUGCAAUUAUAUCGUGCGGAGGAAUGAAAAAUUUUUUGUGAUCUGUUAUUUUCUGUAUAAAAUUAACCACGUUUUCAAUCAUUUCCUCGUAUGGUAUGAUUAUUUUUAUCAAAUCUUUCCAGUAAAUCUGAAUUAUUUAAUUCAAAUCAUAAUCUUAUUAUUCGUCUUUAAAUUAUUGUAACAUUUUGUGUCUUGAAGAAAUAUAAAAUGUUUUUAAAAUUAAAUUUUGCUGAAGCAAUUCUAAAAUCUCCUAAGAUAUUUCAUAAAUUGAUCAAAAUGAUCUAUAAUCGACAAAUUAAAUUAAUCGUUUAUUUCUGGAAAUUUGAAAGAUUUUAAUAAAUUAUCGAAAAUAAAAUUUGAUAUAUUAUUGAAGAAGUAUAUAAUUUUGAAACAUAAGUUGUGAAUUUAUAUUUUGCCAUGAUGCAAAAUCAUAUGGGGAAGUUGAUAGCACGAAAAUUCAACUUCAAAUUGUUUACAAUAUCCAGCAUCUAUCCAUUUCUCUAUCCUUCUCUUUUAGUUGUGCGAACAACUCUUGACACCUAUUCCUUUAAAAUUCAUUUUGGUAGAAACGAGCCAACACUCGAGUUCAAUAAAAACUUUCAACAAAGUUUUGACGUGUUCGUUAACGUCGUAUUUUGAAAAAGUCAUUUUCAAAAUAUAACGGCAGACGAUUAGAUACAGAUGAUUAUUUUUAAUCGUAAAUUUUUCAGCAUUGUUAAUAUAAAAGUUAUUAAUAUAAAUGGACAGAAAUGAAAGUUUUUGUCACAAAUAAAAUAUUUUAUUCAAAAUCUAUAAUUAUAAAUAAACGAUUAAGAAAUGAAGUUCUUCAGAAUUUAAAUAACAUUUUAAAUGCUGUAAGCGAAUUUGAUUAAAUAUUUACCAAACUCAAAGAUGUAUAAAUAGUUAACGAGUAAUUAAUAGAAGUAUAUACAUAUAAUAAAAUAUAGAAUUGAAUACUUUUCUAGGUAGAAUUAUUAAAUCCAUUUGACAUUUCAAAAAAGAAAGUUUCAAAGAAAUUGGAAAUUAACUGCAAUCAAUACGAUUCUCCUUAUUUCCUAUUCUGAUCAAAUGCGGUUCACACUAUUGUCCGACCAAACACACUUCAUACCACUGCCAACACUCAAAUAUCUCACGUUCCAUUCGUCCCUAUAUAUUACCUCUCCUCUUCUCCUAUUCUCUUCUUCUGUUCGAUCCACUAAAAUUUUCCAUCUCAGAUUUUUCCUUUUCCAUGAAUGAGAUAAAACUCACAUUAAAGAGCCACUAAUCCCACGACUCGAAACUUGCCUUGGCACGAACAAAAAUCUUCCUUCUUCUUUCUCAUCAAUAUCUGAGGAUUUUUUUUUCAGAAAUCUAUUACUGUAUUCCCUUUUCUUCGUCUUCGUUCUUCGUUACAAUUUGAUAUUGAGACGAAAAAGAGAUCGAUAAUUUCCACUUUUGACUUCGAAUCAUGGAAUCAUUUUUAGAAGCCGUUUAUAAAGAAGUUACGAGAUCACUGUCAAUCGGUGAGAAUAGAGAGAUAUUCGUACGAGGUUGUAAAUUCAACGAGCCGCCUAUCUGGUCGAUUGCGUGCGGAAAUUGGAUCCCUGGCUCUCGAUUCCUGAUGAAAAGCAUCGUCUUACCUGAAGGAAUUUCGACUGAUUUCCCUUCGAUGGAUGGAUCUUAUUGGUUUAAGAUAGGAAUAAGCAGGAAGAGAGAAAAACCGAGGUUUAGAAUGCGUUUAGGAUCGUGGAAAUGCGGCUGGGAUCUAUUGAAGGUAUUUGGUCAUUGUUGAAUAGGACAAAAGAUAAGGGAGGUAUUGUGCGAUGUUGUUGGAGGGGAGGCGAAGAAGUCGAAUUUGGAAACGGUUCGGUCCAUUGUUGUUGCGCAAACACGAUAUUGCAAUUUGGGAUCGAGGAUCAAUAAUAUUAUUUCGGUGUUGACAUUGGUAUCUAUAUUUCCUCUGAAUUUCUUGUAUCGCAGAAUUUUUUAAGAAAUUCAUGUUACUUAUUGUUGAUACGAGUAUAACGCGUGUUGAUCAAGUAAAAGUUUUCCAUUAGAUCUUACAAAUGCACAAUUGAUUCUCAUUCCCAAACAAUUUACUUUAAAAUAUCUUAUUCAUUUAUAUGAAAAAUCUAUCACUAAAUAAUUUAUUUCAUUCGAGUUUAAUUCCUGAUUGAAUUAAUUCUUUCUUCUCAUCGAUCGCGUUAUACAAUAAAUAGAGCGACUAAAUAAUUCAUAUAAUUCAAUAACAAACAUCAAAAAUUUCCAUCCAUCGUGUAAAAAUUCACGGGUAUAUUAAAAAGAGAGAAAGAAAACGAGCUUGGCAAAUAAACUAACAGAUCGGUGUAAAGUUCAAACCGGCGUUCCUCGCAGGACAAAACAGAUUAGAUUACAGGGGAGGAGGAUGGAAAGCGGGCAUCGCGUUAGGAUUUCCCAUGCGAGGCGUACAUUACGUUACGGUGCACCAUGAAAUAUGCAACGCUAUCUGCUGGCACGGCCGCAACGCCACGACGACGAUCCUCACCCUAUUUCCAAGCCGACUGCUUCCUAUGCACGAGCCACUUGGCCGCGUCCGUGGCUUCGAAAUCGGGGGAUCCAACGCGAUCGAAAACCGUAUCGAACCGAACAUCGUUAUCGUCGACCAACACCCCUCCCCCUCUCUAUCGAUACCCGGAGAAUUUGACUCUGGACCAAAAUUACCAGUAACGAGGUAGCAGCGACGGUUUCCGCGGAAACCGACCAAUUUUCCGGUAUUUCUCCGUGGAGCGGCCGCUAUUCGCUAUUUCAUGGGUUUGUCGUUUGAAUCGAUACGGGCUAACGAGUACUUUCUAUGGGCUGAUACGUUUCUUUGUGUCUUUUAACGUGUGUAUGGGAAUUAACGGACGGUUUGAUGGAGAAGGCGAGAAAUUGCUUCGAGUAUAAGCUUUCUGGUGAUUGGCGUGUAAUAGGAGAAAAAAAGGGGGAAUCGUAUUGUGGAAGUUAUUGGUUUGGUGGGAGGAAGGAUUGUUUUGGUCGAGCCAUGAUUUGUAACGAAAUGUUAUAUUUUGAUUUAAUGUAUAUAUUCUUUAGAGGAAAAGGUUUAAAUCAAAACUUGGAAAUUGGAUUGAUAUCGGUGAAUAUUAUAAAUCAUAAAGAAAUUAUAGAUUUAUAUAUAUAUAUAAGAUUUGAAUGUACAUAAGUUUAGAAAAUAUGCGUGACAUGCAGAAAGAUUCAUAAUUGAGAAAUCAUAAUAAUAAUAAAACAAAUUUAUUCGACGUAUAAUCAUCGAUUCAUUAAUAUCAUGCAAUAAUAUUCCGAUGAUAAAUUUCUGAAGUCUGAUUAAACUUCACUCUCUUUACUAUUUCCAUCUUCAAUUCUCGCAAUUCAUUCCAGUUGAUAUUCACAAACAUAAGUCCAGCUGAUAUCCAAACCAUCCCGUUUAAUUUCUCAUCUCCCUUAUCGCCCAAAUACCAUUCGACAAAUUUCUGAAUUCGCCUCCACGCGAAAUCGGGAGAGAAGGAAACACGAUAAACCGAAAACACGUAAGAAAAGCAAGGGUCGAGAAUACCUUUCAUUCAAGCUUAAACGGCCUGGCCGAAGUUUAAGUGGGCCAACCUUCUCCGCCCAAUUAAAAACCCAAUUCCAAAAGCUGUGGGAGCAGAGGGAGGAGGAGGCGAGGUUUCACACCCUCGCGCUUCCGUGUGUCGAGACUUUUGAGUGGCUGUUUCGCCCGAAGCAACUCUAUCUAUCCGCAAGAUUCCCCGGGAAAAUUCGAUUGCCUGUAGGAGCGACGUCGAAAUCCUUCACUCCCUUCGCUCUCGCCUUGAUAUGUCGAUAGAGAGGCACAAUUAUAUCCGUGAUGACGUCUAAACUAAAUCGACUUGUACGUGUAUUUACCCGUGUGGCGCAAUUAACAGUGUUAGAGAAGUCGGAUGCUGUAACGAGGAUUCAUCCUUCGUCACUUAGGAUUCAUCCUUACUGAGCGAUGACGAUGUUUAAUUAGCGAUGAUGAGUGAGUUUUUAAUAAUUUUUAAUAAUUCAUAUUUGUAUGAAUAAAUAUCUUCUCUAUGUAUAAGAUGUUGAUAUAUUUGAGAGACAAACAGAGGCUUUCAUCAUACCAUAAUAUUCGCUUUAUUUUCUUUUGUAUUUGUUUUGAUUUCUAGAAUCGAUUCUCCAAAGGUAUCCACGGAUAUAUUAAUAGCUUAAAUCUUGAAUACACGAUACGAAGAUAUACACGUAUGUAAUUUCCUUGCUAUUUGAUCUUCUCGUUUUAUUGGCGUUUUAUUCUAGUAUUACGGUGAAAGAAAAUUAUUUGUAUUUAAUAAAUGUCGAUUAAACGCGUUGACGCAUGGAUGCAAAUUUACUCUCAAUUUCGUAUUAAACAUUGUAUCGAUUCCGUCGUCAGUCGCGGCAAGAGAUGCUGCAAAACGGAGAGAUAAUCGCCUCCAUUCGAUUUGCCGGUAAAAUGGAUAGAUUCCGCCGUCUGACUUCUGUAUUAAGCGUUAAGCGAUCAACAACGUUGAAUAUUACUCGAUUCCCUGACUCCGGAGUAAUAUCAAAGGUUUCUAGAAAUUACAUUCAAAACUUGAAAUUGCUUCAAAUCCGAUCAUUACGUAAUAUAAUCAUAGAAAAUUGCUUUGAUAAAAUGCAGUAUGAUUAAAAUUGUAAUAAAUCUAAAUUAUAUCGUAGAAACUUUUGUAAAUAUAAUAGAAAUGCAUCAACUAUGAUUUUUGAAUAGUUUUGCAUAGUUCUGAAGCAUGCUUUUACAUUCCUCUCCCUUACUUUUUAUUUAAAUUCGUCCCAGUCUUUCAUACUAAAGCUAAAUAAUGUGUAAGAUAAUGGAUAUGAAUCGUAAAAGUGUGAAAGAUUUCAAUAAUGAAAGGAUACAAUUACGCGUUGCGAGAGCAGAGAAAUGGAGCACUUUAGAAACAAUGAAUAAUUCCGGUAGGAUCUUCCUGCGGUAGUAGUUUCAAUUUACGUUGUAGCAUGUCUAUUUCCUGCAAUUUCCAUGACUAAUCAUUGAUUCCUUCAGCCAGAUCAUUAUAUUAAUAGCAAAUAGUUCUUGCAUCUCAAGAACAGAUCUAUUAAAUUUGCCAAUGAAUCCAAUAUUCAACAUAUUAGAAUUUGUUGUAUAAUAAUGCUAAUAACGAUAAUAUUGUAUUUGCUUAUUGAAGCAACAAUAUUAUACAAUAUUCCUGUUACAAUUAAUAUAUAUAUAUA